RNAcentral lists this transfer RNA (73 nucleotides) under Penicillium chrysogenum. RNAcentral's name for it is "tRNA-Ile (AAT) (tRNA-Ile-AAT-2-1)". Lineage: Eukaryota; Fungi; Ascomycota; Eurotiomycetes; Eurotiales; Aspergillaceae. RNAcentral also lists the same sequence under 4 other names. The record is from RNAcentral.
GGAUUCCAUAACUCAGUUGGUUAGAGUGUGGUGCUAAUAUCGCCAAAGUCGAGGGUUACCCCCUCUGGAACCA